GGGGAUGUAGAUUAGAUGGUAAAGCGCUCGCUUAACAUGCGAGAGGUACAGGGAUCGAUACUCUGUAUCUUCA
This 73-nucleotide transfer RNA is filed under the name Nelumbo nucifera (sacred lotus). It matches the Rfam family "tRNA". From Rfam's summary of the family: Transfer RNA (tRNA) molecules are approximately 80 nucleotides in length. Their secondary structure includes four short double-helical elements and three loops (D, anti-codon, and T loops). Further hydrogen bonds mediate the characteristic L-shaped molecular structure. tRNAs have two regions of fundamental functional importance: the anti-codon, which is responsible for specific mRNA codon recognition, and the 3' end, to which the tRNAs corresponding amino acid is attached (by aminoacyl-tRNA synthetases). tRNAs cope with the degeneracy of the genetic code in two manners: having more than one tRNA (with a specific anti-codon) for a particular amino acid; and 'wobble' base-pairing, i.e. permitting non-standard base-pairing at the 3rd anti-codon position. Lineage: Eukaryota; Viridiplantae; Streptophyta; Magnoliopsida; Proteales; Nelumbonaceae. The record is from Rfam by way of RNAcentral.